CCUGGCUCAGAUUGAACGCUGGCGGCAUGCCUAACACAUGCAAGUCGAACGGCAGCAUAGUCUAGUUUACUAGAUGGGUGGCGAGUGGCGAACGGGUGAGUAACGCGUAGGAAUAUACCUUAAAGAGGGGGACAACUCGAGGAAACUCGAGCUAAUACCGCAUAAGCUCUGAGGAGUAAAGCUGGAGACCUUCGGGCCUGGCGCUUUAAGAUUAGCCU
This 218-nucleotide ribosomal RNA is filed under the name uncultured bacterium. RNAcentral describes it as "partial 16S ribosomal RNA". It matches the Rfam family "Bacterial small subunit ribosomal RNA", at positions 18 to 232 of the family's 1533-position model. The record is from RNAcentral.